RNAcentral lists this ribosomal RNA (253 nucleotides) under uncultured bacterium. RNAcentral describes it as "partial 16S ribosomal RNA". It matches the Rfam family "Bacterial small subunit ribosomal RNA", at positions 524 to 776 of the family's 1533-position model. The record is from RNAcentral.
UACGGAGGUUGCAAGCGUUGUUCGGAAUUACUGGGCGUAAAGGGCGUGUAGGUGGUUGACUAAGUCAGGUGUGAAAGCCCUCAGCUCAACUGAGGAAGCGCAUCUGAAACUGGUUAACUUGAGUACGGGAGAGGAGAGUGGAAUUCCUGGUGUAGAGGUGAAAUUCGUAGAUAUCAGGAGGAACAUCGGUGGCGAAGGCGACUCUCUGGACCGAUACUGACACUGAGACGCGAAAGCGUGGGGAGCAAACAGG